AAAGACAUGCUGCAGUCAGAGGAGAAUGGCCAAACUGGUUCAAGCUGAUAGAAAGGCAACAGUAACACAAAUAGCCAAUCAUAACAACCAAGGUAUG
Nanorana parkeri is the source of this 97-nucleotide long non-coding RNA. RefSeq lists it as uncharacterized. Lineage: Eukaryota; Metazoa; Chordata; Amphibia; Anura; Dicroglossidae. The transcript is spliced from 3 exons. The record is from RefSeq and is a predicted model, not a curated record.